Molecule: RNA transcript, 5576 nt
Organism: Camelus dromedarius (Arabian camel)
Lineage: Eukaryota; Metazoa; Chordata; Mammalia; Artiodactyla; Camelidae
Gene: RBM22
Gene name: RNA binding motif protein 22
Exons: 12
Source: RefSeq, a predicted model, not a curated record
GUAAAUAAGACGUCGACGUGCCGGGAGGCGGCCUCAGGGCCUGACGGGAUUGUGGCGGUCCUCUUUUUCAACUCGGAAGCUGCGGCUACCUCCGGACGCUCUCAACAUGGCGACCUCUCUGGGUUCCAACACGUACAACAGGCAGAACUGGGAGGAUGCGGACUUCCCUAUUCUGUGCCAGACGUGUCUUGGAGAAAACCCAUAUAUCCGAAUGACCAAAGAAAAGUAUGGGAAGGAGUGCAAAAUCUGUGCCAGACCAUUCACAGUGUUUCGCUGGUGCCCUGGGGUCCGCAUGCGUUUCAAGAAGACUGAAGUGUGCCAAACCUGCAGUAAAUUGAAGAAUGUCUGUCAGACCUGCCUCUUGGACCUAGAGUAUGGCCUUCCCAUCCAGGUUCGUGAUGCAGGAUUGUCUUUUAAGGAUGACAUGCCAAAGUCAGAUGUCAACAAAGAGUACUACACACAGAAUAUGGAGAGAGAGAUUUCUAACUCUGAUGGAACACGGCCAGUUGGCAUGUUGGGGAAAGCCACAUCCACCAGUGACAUGCUGCUCAAACUGGCUCGGACCACACCGUACUAUAAAAGGAAUCGACCCCACAUUUGCUCUUUCUGGGUGAAAGGAGAAUGUAAGAGAGGAGAGGAGUGUCCGUACAGACAUGAGAAGCCGACAGAUCCAGAUGACCCCCUUGCUGAUCAGAACAUUAAAGACCGAUACUACGGAAUCAACGACCCUGUGGCAGAUAAACUUCUAAAGCGGGCUUCAACAAUGCCUCGUCUGGACCCGCCAGAGGACAAGACUAUCACCACGUUGUAUGUUGGUGGUCUGGGCGAUACCAUUACUGAGACAGAUCUGAGAAAUCAUUUCUACCAGUUUGGAGAGAUCCGGACGAUCACUGUUGUGCAGAGACAGCAGUGUGCUUUCAUCCAGUUUGCCACUAGGCAGGCUGCAGAAGUGGCUGCCGAGAAGUCCUUUAAUAAGUUAAUUGUCAAUGGCCGCAGGCUCAACGUGAAAUGGGGAAGGUCCCAAGCAGCCAGAGGAAAAGAAAAAGAGAAGGAUGGAACCACAGACUCCGGAAUCAAGCUGGAGCCCGUUCCAGGGCUACCAGGAGCUCUUCCUCCUCCUCCUGCUGCAGAAGAAGAAGCCUCUGCCAACUACUUCAACCUACCCCCAAGUGGUCCUCCAGCCGUGGUGAACAUUGCCCUGCCACCUCCCCCUGGUAUUGCCCCGCCCCCACCCCCAGGUUUUGGGCCACACAUGUUCCACCCAAUGGGACCACCCCCUCCUUUCAUGAGGGCUCCAGGACCAAUCCACUAUCCUUCUCAGGACCCUCAGAGGAUGGGAGCUCAUGCCGGGAAACACAGCAGCCCCUAGCGUAUUGUCACCACACUAUGGCUCUACGCAAAAGAGGGCACUUAAAAAUCCCAGGCACACAGCCAGGGGUACACUUGGCGAAAAGUAAACUUUGCCAUUCCCAGACUUCGUCUGUAAAAACAUCUCACCCACCCAGCCCUGUGAGCUCUUUCCCCAUCUGCUGGCUGAAUGCGCAGGAGGAGGAUCCCUGGAAGAUGGCAGUCACACGAUGGAAGGAGCCUGGGUUCCUCUAUCACUGCUUCAAGGAGAGCACUGUGAUAAAAGGGAUUUUUGUUACAGUAAGCCAUUGAGACUUGGGGUUUAUCUGUAACAGCAGCUAGUGUUACUCUAGUAACAGACGCAGUCAGAUCUGAUCACACACACACAAAAAAUCCAUUUUUGUUUGUACUGAGUAAUGAUGAUUUAAGCAGACUUUUGAGCCAGAUUACCUGAGUUGAAAUCCUCACUUCAGCGACCCCCAUCUGUGACCCUGGGCAAAUAACCUCUGUCUAGUUUUCAUAAUAGCUCACCUCCUAACCCUUCUCACUGCCUAUAAUAUUUUGAGCUCCUCCCCUCUUGGAGAAGGUUUGGAAGGUACAGCCUCAUGACAGUGGGACGAAGGCAGUGAUGGCCCAUGGGGCAGAGAGUGAAAUGUGACAUGUUUUGGAAGCCAAAUCAGUGAGACGUUGUGACCUGAAAUAAAUGGGGGUGAAAGAGGAGGAGUCAGGGUGAUCCUUCUCCCCUCACCACUACCCUUCCAAGUAUCUGGCUUGGUCAGCUGGUUGGCAGUAUGUCUUUGCCCAAAAUAGAGAAUGCUGCGGAGGAGAGUGGGAUUGUGGGGGAGGAAUAGGAAAAUGAAUCCAAUAUUGGAUCUGGUGAGUUGAAGGUACCUAUGAGACAGGCCUGUGGAAAUUAACCAGCCCAAAGAGAAUUCGAGCUUAAGACAGGUCAAGAUUUGGGAGUUAGCCGUGAAGUGAUGGCAUCUGAAGCCCUGGGUGUGGAAUAAAAUCCUCCAGGAUGGGGAUAUAGAACAUUAGUUCUUAAACUUCAGCGGAUCUCAGUAAGUGCCUAGGUGUUCUAUGUUGGUGAGGCAAAGACCACCCUUUGAGAAACACUAGUAGAGAAUGAGAUCACGUCUAAGAUUAGAAUAUACUGCCCUCCCCAGAGAUCCUGUAGUCUUUGUAUUUAUCCCUAACAUUUUAUUACAAAAAUUUUGUAACAUACAGGAAAGCUGAAAGGAUUUUACUGUGAACAAUCAUGUACCCACUAGCUAGACCUAAAAUUAACAUCUGGCCGUAUUUGCUUCAUCACAUAUCCAUUUCUUUAUGCAUUCGUUAAUCUAUUUUUAUGCAUUUCAGAAUAAAUUGAAGACAUCAGUACACUUCACCUUUAAACAUGUAAGCAUUUGUAUAGUUACCCAAAGUUCAAUAUUUGUUUAUGAAUUUUUAGAUAAAACUUACAUAGAUUGAAAUGCACAGUUCUUGAGUAUGCUACUCAAGACAUUUAACAGCUGUAUACACCUAUCUGGCCCAAAGCCCUGCCAAGAUUUAGAACAUUGCUAUCCUCCAGAAAAUUUCCCCCUGCUCUUCCCAGUCAAUACCCAUUUCCCGCCAGUCUCCAAAGGCAACUACUAUUCUGAUUUUUUCCGCCAUAGAUUAUUUUACUUAUUUUAAAACUUAAUAUAAAUGGAAUCAUGCCGCAGAACUCUUUGUGUUUGGCUUCUUUACAGCAACAUGAUGCUUUGGAGAAUCAGCCAUGAUAUUAAAUAUAAUUUCCUCCAUUUUAUUGUUGAGUUAGCAUUCCAGUGUAUGACUAUACCCUCACUUACCUAUGCACUUUUUGCUAUUAUGACUUAAAACUGCUGAAAACAUCCUUUUACACAUUUUUUUCGUGAAUAUGUUUUUAUUUUGAAUAAAUAUUUUGGAAUGCAAUUACUGGGUCAUGAGGCAGGUGCCUGUUUAGUUUUAAAAGUAACUGUUGGACCUUUUUCCAAACUGGCUGUACCAUUUUACAUUUCCACCAGCAAUGCAUAAAAGUUGUUCUGCAACACCAUGAACAUUUGGUGUAAACAGUCUUUUGAAUUUUAGCCAUUCUGGUGGUCAUAUAUAUAGUAGUAUUUCAUUGUGUUUUUAAUUUGCACUCCUAUUAUGACAAAUAUGUUGAGAACCUUUUCUAAUGCUUAUGGUCAUUUAUUUAUCUUUUGUGAAGUAUCUGCUCAAAUAUUUUGGCCAUUUUUACUGGGUAUCUUUUUAUUAACUAGUUACAGGAGUUUUUUUUUUUUUUUAAUAUGUCCUAGAAAUUAGUUCUUUGUCAGAUAUAUGUUUACAAAUAUUUUCUCCGAGUCUGUGGCCUGCCUAUUAUCUUCUCUAAUGAUGCCUUUUGACGAGCAGAGGUUUUUCAUUUUACUGAAGCCUAAUUUAUUGUCUAGUAGACCAAAAUCUGUGUUAGUUUGCCAGAGCUGCCAUAACAAAGUAUUGCAAACUGGGUGGCUUAAACAGCUGACAUUUAUUGUCUCACCUUUCUGGAGGUUGAUGCCAAGGCUGAGGUGUUGCCAAGGUUAAUUCUUUUCCAGACAGUGAGAAUCUGUUCCAUGCUUCUCUCCUAGCUUCCUGCGUUUGCUGGCAGUCUUUGCCAUUCCUUGGCUUGUAGAAAUAUCACCCUGACCUCUGCCUUCAUCUUCACACCAUGUUGUCCCUGUGUGCAUAACUGUCCAAACUCCCCCUAAUUAUAAGGACACCAGUCACAUUGGAUUAGGGCCCACCCUAAUGACUUCAUUUAUUGUUGAAAAGAUUUUCCUUCUUUAGGUCUUUUGUAUUUCCACAUCAACUUUUAAAUCAAUUUGUCGAUUUCUACAAAAACACAGGACUAUGAUUGGGAUUGUGUUGAAUCUAUAGAUCAAUUUGGGGAAAAUAUUGAGCCUGCCAGUCUAUGGGCAUGGUAUAGUUAAUUAAGUUUUCUUUAAUUACUGUCAGCAGUGUUUUGUACUUUCAGUGUACAGGGCUUGCACGACCUUAGUUACAUUUAUAACUAAAAAUUUUGCGAUUUGUUGCUAUUGUAAAUGGACUUUCAAAAAAUUUGUUUUCCAGUUGUUGCAGCUAAUAUAAGUCAAUAGGUUUUAUUUUUGUAUAUCAGCCCUGCAUCCUGUGACCCUGCUGACUUCACUCAGGGCUUCUAGCAGUUCUUUUGUAGAUUCCUGUGAUGAUCUACAUAAAUCACAUCAUUUGGGAAUAACCAUUUUACUUAUUUAUUUCCAAUCUUCAUGCCUUUUCUUCUUUUUGUGGCUCUACUGAACUGGCUAGGACCCUGAGUAAAAUAUUAAAUAGAACUGGUGAGAGUAGACAUCUUUGUCUUUUUCCCACUUUUCAGAGUAUAUAGUAUUCAGUAUUUUACCCUUAAGUACUUAAUUAACUAUAGAUUUUUUUUGUAGCUGCCUUUUAUCAGAUAGAAUUUACCUUCCAAAUUUUUCUGAGUUUUCGCCAUAAAUUUGUGUUGAAUUUUGCCAGUGCUUCUUCUGUGUCCUAUGGUUUUCUCUUUUACUAUGUUAAUGUAGUGAAUUACACUGAUUGAUUUUUAAAUUGUUAAACCAAGCUUGUAUUCCUGGGAUUCACCUAACCUAGCCAUAAUGUAUUUUAUUUUUAUAUAUUUAUUUAAAUUUUUUAGUUUUGUAUUUUCCAGUUUUUUUGAGCUAUAACUGACAUAUAACAUUGUAUUAGUUUAAGGUGUACAACAUAAUGAUUUGAUAUAUGUACAUAUUAUGACAUGCUUACCAAAAUAAAUUUAGUUAACAUCUAUCACCUUACAUAGUUAGAUUUCCUUUUCUUGUGAUGAGAACUUUUAAGAUCUACUCUCAGCAACUUUCAAAUUUAUAGCACAGUAUUGUUAACUAUGGUCACUAUGCUGUAUAUUACAUCCCCAGGACUUAUCUUGCAACUAGGAAGUUUGUACCUUUUGACCACCUUGACCCAUUUAAAGCCAUAUAACACAAUACAGUCAUAUAUUUAUCUACAAACCAUAUAUUGACAUAUUUAUAAAUUUAAGUAUAUAACUUAUUUUUUGUGUCUGUGUUCAUAUGAGAUAUGGUGUUGAAUUUUCUUCUCUGUAACAUCAAUUUUCUCCUAGCUUUAUAAAAUAUAUUUGGAAAUGUUACCUCUUCCUUUAUAUUCUGAAAGAGUUUGUGUAACAUUGCUAUUAUUUUUUCCUUACAUGUUUGAUAAAAUUUGCCAGUGAA